This is a long non-coding RNA of Magnolia sinica, 466 nucleotides long. RefSeq lists it as uncharacterized. The transcript is spliced from 3 exons. Lineage: Eukaryota; Viridiplantae; Streptophyta; Magnoliopsida; Magnoliales; Magnoliaceae. The record is from RefSeq and is a predicted model, not a curated record.
GUGGGGUUGAUGUGAAGGAAGAAAGAUGAAGAAGAUUGCAGCUUUGGUUCUCUUGUUAGUCUUUGUAGCCUCCCAGAUGGAGGAGGCCCACUCAACUGAUGCAUUUGAGUGCCACGAUGCCUGCACAUUGAAUUGCGUUGGAGAAGACCAGAGUAAGAUUGAAAGUUGCGACCGCAAGUGUCAAGUACAAUGUGACCCUGGUUUUGCGGGUGCUGCUGGUAUGCUCUAGUCAUGGAAUGAAGCUUCAAUUGACAUAUUUUCGCCUAAUUACUAAUAAAAUGUAAAACCGAUCUGGUUUAGAAUAAGAUAGUUCUUGUAUGUGGGCUCUUGGCUUUCUUAAUUUUAAAGGCUUAUCAACUGUUGAUCACAAUGGAGAUGGAGAUUACUACAAAAACAAAAGAUGAUAAAGCAUUUAGCUUAAAAGUUAUAUUAUUUGAAGUAAUAACUUUUGUAAAAAUGUCUGACA